This 76-nucleotide transfer RNA is filed under the name Candidatus Margulisiibacteriota bacterium. Its description in RNAcentral is "tRNA-Val". It matches the Rfam family "tRNA". Rfam says of the family: Transfer RNA (tRNA) molecules are approximately 80 nucleotides in length. Their secondary structure includes four short double-helical elements and three loops (D, anti-codon, and T loops). RNAcentral also lists the same sequence under 1 other name. Lineage: Bacteria; Bacillati; Candidatus Margulisiibacteriota. The record is from RNAcentral.
GGGCGGUUAGCUCAGAUGGUAGAGCAUCUGGUUUACACCCAGAGGGUCGGCAGUUCGAUCCUGUCACCGCCCACCA